This 443-nucleotide long non-coding RNA is filed under the name Octopus vulgaris (common octopus). The record is from RNAcentral. Lineage: Eukaryota; Metazoa; Mollusca; Cephalopoda; Octopoda; Octopodidae.
AGAGUUUACAAAUUAUUUCACAAUUUUAAUGAGACAAUUUAUUGACACAUAUCAAAGCGAUUAUUAGAAAAAUAAAUAACAUUGACAUUUUACAUAGAUAGGUGAGGAGUAUUUACUGAAUCACAAUAGUUUCAAAUAGCAAUUCUGACAUCUGUGAAUAUAAGAACAAUGCCUGAUUUAAGUAGACAAAAAUAUCAAAACAAAGGUAGCACCAACUAGCAGUGUGAUUCUUUUCAGUAUAUAUUAAUAACAAAAUUACAUUGAAAAUAAAGAUAAAGUUUUAAUGAAAUAACAAUAAUGAUGAGGAGUUACUUUUAGAAAAUGAAAUUAAAAACCAUGAUACAUGCAUGAGUGUUUAAAUAACUCAAUGAAGCUCAGAUAACCUAUAAAUAAACCAGAGCCAUUCUCAGGAUGAUCCAAGCUUACAAGUUUUAUUUCUAAGC